RNAcentral lists this long non-coding RNA (867 nucleotides) under Salmo salar (Atlantic salmon). RNAcentral describes it as "lncRNA (ENSSSAG00000093837.1)". The record is from RNAcentral. Lineage: Eukaryota; Metazoa; Chordata; Actinopteri; Salmoniformes; Salmonidae.
AAAGAAAAAAAAACAGAUGUUCCACCAGACAGGAUUAAAUAUAGCCACUGAUUAGCCAGACAUUGUUCUCUGUGUAGGCCUCUAAGAUUAUACCACUUAACGCGGCAUGUCACUUUGCGUCCCCUGAGACAGUUUGGGCCACAAAGCUAGCUAUGAUGAUUACUUUUGUUUUUCAAGCCCAUACAGCGUCCGUACAGACACAUCCACAAUAAGUGGGCAAGACGGCUAAAGGGGUACAUACCCUUUUUAUUAUUUCCUGUGCAUAAAAGGGACCAAUAUCCUAGUCAAAAGAUGCCUCCCGCACCACAGGAUUCGAACAAGACCUUUCGUGGAAUCCCACAGGUUGUAGCUAGUGGUGGAGGCCCCCCAAGGACUGCAACUCGACCGGGAAACAAGUUGGGAUGCAUGGAGGUGGAAAUCCUGAACCCUCAAACGGGAAGGCCCAUGUGCGUCUCUCCACAACUGUUCUUGACGUGAAAAAUACACUUCAUAAAGCACUUAAUGACAGCAACACAGCCAUGAGGCAGAUAAUUCAACAGGAGAGUGCUGAGCAACAAGGACAAGUCUACACGGACAGAUAACAAGGACAAGUCUACACAAACAGAGGGAUAGAUGACCUGAUAUCUUCAUAUACUAGAGAAGCCUAUCAAUCAGAAUGUCAACCAGAUAGGAAGGCUACAUAACACAUUCACAUUGUGUAUUCAUGGGACACACUCUUUUCACGCCACUUCUAUACACCUAUGACCGGAAGUGAUUUGUGGCUGGUUAGGAGAGCAUUUUCGCUAACCCUAACCCUUUUCCUAACUUUAGCCUAGUUCUCCUAACCUGCCACAUUAAUUCUCCUAACCUGCUACGUUAACUCUCCUA